This 21-nucleotide small RNA is filed under the name Arabidopsis thaliana (thale cress). RNAcentral describes it as "ATSL234940". The record is from RNAcentral. Lineage: Eukaryota; Viridiplantae; Streptophyta; Magnoliopsida; Brassicales; Brassicaceae.
CGUCGUUCUUCUUCUUGUUAC